RNAcentral lists this ribosomal RNA (247 nucleotides) under uncultured Fluviicola sp. RNAcentral's name for it is "partial 16S ribosomal RNA". It matches the Rfam family "Bacterial small subunit ribosomal RNA", at positions 357 to 601 of the family's 1533-position model. Lineage: Bacteria; Pseudomonadati; Bacteroidota; Flavobacteriia; Flavobacteriales; Crocinitomicaceae. The record is from RNAcentral.
AGGAAUAUUGGUCAAUGGGCGCAAGCCUGAACCAGCCAUGCCGCGUGCAGGAAGACGGUCCUAUGGAUUGUAAACUGCUUUUAUUUGGGAAUAAACCUAUUUACGUGUAGAUAGCUGAAGGUACCAAAUGAAUAAGCACCGGCUAACUCCGUGCCAGCAGCCGCGGUAAUACGGAGGGAGCAAGCGUUAUCCGGAAUCAUUGGGUUUAAAGGGUCCGCAGGCGGAUUUAUAAGUCCGUGGUGAAAGC